UGGUAAAAAGGAGACUAAACUUCCCUAAAUGAAUUUACAGCUCACCGCCUAUAACCUCGGCCAUUUUACC
Molecule: transfer RNA, 70 nt
Filed under: Stenocercus marmoratus
Lineage: Eukaryota; Metazoa; Chordata; Lepidosauria; Squamata; Tropiduridae
Description: tRNA-Tyr
Source: RNAcentral